Molecule: long non-coding RNA, 1311 nt
Organism: Neofelis nebulosa (Clouded leopard)
Lineage: Eukaryota; Metazoa; Chordata; Mammalia; Carnivora; Felidae
Exons: 4
Source: RefSeq, a predicted model, not a curated record
GAGUGGCUGGGGAGGGGGGCCGGAGGCCGGAGAGGAAGGGAGCCGCAGCUUCGCUCUGUGCGGGGAGUCGGAGCUCCAGUCUCCUGGCGGAGGGGUGCCUCCGCCGCUCACCGCCCCGCGGGCCAGCGCAGAGCGGGCCUUAGGGGGAUCGGGGAAGCCCUCUCUCCCUGGGGUAUUUCCCACACCAUCAGCCCUCGGCUCGAGGUUGAACUUGGCCCUGGUCUGCCGCCCGUUGAAAAUAGAAAAUUCAGGAAACCGAGGGCUAGAGGACGGACUGGGGAAGACGCACAGGUGGAGCGCAGGCCUCCCGGAUUCUAGUACAUGCUGACGCAGCCUAACGCACGGUUCCAGUGGAAACGGAGGAACCAGACAAGAGUGCCCUUUGGAAUUCCACAUCCCAAAGAAACGCCUCUAGGACUCCUCCCCACGGGUGUCCCAAGGCUCUUCAGAUGCAUCGCUUACAAAGCUGAAAACCCAGACAUGUCAAUGACCAGCCUCAGCCAUGUAGAUCACGACAAGUCUGGAAGGGGAGGAGAGAGUGGAGCCAUAAGAUGGAAGGGACUUGGGUCCCUGAAUGACCGCAUGGAACAGAACUGCCCACCAGCCUGGAACACUCACCCUGAGAUGUUAAGGGAGAAAGAAAUAAACUUAAAAAAACUCUCUUAAAGAAAGAGAGAAAUGAGUUGAGAGCUGGCUAUUUUGAAAAUAGAGGUAGAAGGGAAGAGGGAGACACCAUAUACUGAAGGCUUCACAAUGUUGGAAAAGCAAACACUUUUGGGCCAAACUAUAGAAAUAAGAUUGUUGCAAAAAGCAUUUUUCAAAAGUCCUUUGAGAUUUAUCAGCCAAACAAAGAUGGCCUCAAGUGAGACACAACAGGUACAACAAGGAAUCCAGGAAAUAAAGCAGCUAUGGGAGAACCAUAUUCAGAAAAGAACUUUGGUAGUGGUUCCUGAACACAAAACUGACUAGAAGGAAAUGGACCAGAAACUGACCAGGUGUUUGAGGGAAUUACAUUGUGGUAGAAGCCAGAAGUCCGGCUCCCAAAAGCCUGUGAGUAAUCGAGACCCACAAUAACUCUGGGCCCUUCUAACUUGCACUAGCAGAAAACUUGGAAAGCUCUAUGGCCCUAAAGGAGGACACACUUCCCAACACCUAACUUGAAAUGUGGCUGAGAGGGAAAUGGGCAGGGAAUGGAAGGCAAGGCUGGGACCGUGGAGGACAGCAGGCAAGGUGCUGGACCCAAAGAACAGAACUAAGGUAGGUAGUUAAGCUUUCUCAUUCCACUGCGAGGGUGGAUAGCCCGAGGAUCCU